This 1078-nucleotide ribosomal RNA is filed under the name human gut metagenome. RNAcentral describes it as "bacterial LSU rRNA". It matches the Rfam family "Bacterial large subunit ribosomal RNA", at positions 1851 to 2925 of the family's 2925-position model. The record is from RNAcentral.
CAUGACACCUGCCCUGUGCUUGAAGGUUAAGAGGAGAUGUCAUCGCAAGAGAAGCAUUGAAUUGAAGCCCCAGUAAACUGCGGCCGUAACUAUAACGGUCCUAAGGUAGCGAAAUUCCUUGUCGGGUAAGUUCCGACCUGCACGAAAGGUGUAACGAUCUGAGCGCUGUCUCGACAGUAGACCCGGUGAAAUUGUGGUACUGGUAAAGACGCCAGUUACCCGCAGUAGGACGGAAAGACCCCGUGGAGCUUUACUGUAACUUGAUAUUGGAUUUCGGUAAGGUAUGUAUAGGAUAGGUGGGAGACAUUGAAAUAUGGUCGCCAGACUAUAUGGAGUCGUCCUUGGAAUACCACCCUUACCUUGCUGGGAUUCUAACCGCGAGCGUUGAACCACGACGCGGGACAUUGUCAGGCGGGCAGUUUGACUGGGGCGGUCGCCUCCCAAAGAGUAACGGAGGCGCGCGAAGGUCACCUCAGGGUGAAUGGAAAACACCCAGAGAGCGUAAGGGUAUAAGGUGGCUUAACUGUGAGACAGACAUGUCGAGCAGAAACGAAAGUUGGUCCUAGUGAUCCGGUGGUCCUGAGUGGAAAGGCCAUCGCUCAUCGGAUAAAAGCUACCCCGGGGAUAACAGGCUGAUGCCGCCCGAGAGUUCCUAUCGACGGCGGCGUUUGGCACCUCGAUGUCGGCUCAUCGCAUCCUGGGGCUGAAGCAGGUCCCAAGGGUUGGUCUGUUCGCCCAUUAAAGCGGUACGUGAGCUGGGUUCAGAACGUCGUGAGACAGUUCGGUCCCUAUCCACUGUGGGCGCAAGGUAUUUGAAAGGAACUGUCCCUAGUACGAGAGGACCGGGAUGGACGAACCGCUAGUGAACCAGUUGUUCUGCCAGGAGCACACGCUGGGUAGCCAUGUUCGGAUCGGAUAACCGCUGAAGGCAUCUAAGCGGGAAGCCGGCCUUGAGAUGAGAUACCUCAUUACGGAAGUAGAUAAGGCGUCCGGCAGACGACCGGAUAGAUAGGUUGGGGGUGUAAGAGGGUAACGCCCUUUGAGCCGACCAAUACUAAUACGCCGAAGCCUUAACCUC